RNAcentral lists this ribosomal RNA (590 nucleotides) under Salmonella enterica subsp. enterica serovar Typhimurium. Its description in RNAcentral is "partial 23S ribosomal RNA". It matches the Rfam family "Bacterial large subunit ribosomal RNA", at positions 1 to 621 of the family's 2925-position model. The record is from RNAcentral. Lineage: Bacteria; Pseudomonadati; Pseudomonadota; Gammaproteobacteria; Enterobacterales; Enterobacteriaceae.
GGGUUGUGAGGUUAAGCGACUAAGCGUACACGGUGGAUGCCCUGGCAGUCAGAGGCGAUGAAGGGCGUGCUAAUCUGCGAUAAGCGCCGGUAAGGUGAUAUGAACCGUUAUAACCGGCGAUACCCGAAUGGGGAAACCCAGUGUGAUUCGUCACACUAUCAUUAACUGAAUCCAUAGGUUAAUGAGGCGAACCGGGGGAACUGAAACAUCUAAGUACCCCGAGGAAAAGAAAUCAACCGAGAUUCCCCCAGUAGCGGCGAGCGAACGGGGAGGAGCCCAGAGCCUGAAUCAGCAUGUGUGUUAGUGGAAGCGUCUGGAAAGGCGCGCGAUACAGGGUGACAGCCCCGUACACAAAAGCGCAUGUGCUGUGAGCUCGAUGAGUAGGGCGGGACACGUGGUAUCCUGUCUGAAUAUGGGGGGACCAUCCUCCAAGGCUAAAUACUCCUGACUGACCGAUAGUGAACCAGUACCGUGAGGGAAAGGCGAAAAGAACCCCGGCGAGGGGAGUGAAAAAGAACCUGAAACCGUGUACGUACAAGCAGUGGGAGCACCCUUCGGGGUGUGACUGCGUACCUUUUGUAUAAUGGGUC